This is a ribosomal RNA of Cyprinus carpio carpio, 119 nucleotides long. The record is from Ensembl. NCBI's taxonomy places the organism in Eukaryota, Metazoa, Chordata, Actinopteri, Cypriniformes, Cyprinidae.
GCUAACGGCCAUACCACCCUGAGCGCGCCCGAUCUCGUCUGAUCUCGGAAGCUAAGCAGGGUCGGGCCUGGUUAGUACUUGGAUGGGAGACCGCCUGGGAAUACCAGGUGCUGUAAGCU